UACGUAGGGUGCGAGCGUUAAUCGGAAUUACUGGGCGUAAAGCGUGCGCAGGCGGUUUUGUAAGCCAGAUGUGAAAUCCCCGGGCUUAACCUGGGAAUGGCAUUUGGGACUGCAAGGCUGGAGUGUGGCAGAGGAGACUGGAAUUCCCGGUGUAGCAGUGAAAUGCGCAGAUAUCAGGAGGAACACCCGUAGCGAAGGCGGCACUCUGGGCCGAUACUGACACUGAGGAGCGAAAGCGUGGGGAGCGAACAGG
This 253-nucleotide ribosomal RNA is filed under the name uncultured bacterium. RNAcentral describes it as "partial 16S ribosomal RNA". It matches the Rfam family "Bacterial small subunit ribosomal RNA", at positions 524 to 776 of the family's 1533-position model. The record is from RNAcentral.